ACACAUUGGAGAUAGAGCGGAAGACUUUUACAAAGUACACUUUACAUUCCAGAACUCAAGUUUUACAUGGUAGAAAGAGAUGUAUUUAUUACAAGUCCUGAUAGUACUCGAAGGGCAUAACUUAUUACAAUAACUGGAAGGGUGAAGCCUUUCCAUAAGAGAUAUAUAAAAACCUUCUAAGCUUCAAGUCUUCCACAUGAAGUAACUAACCCAAAGAUAAGGGAAUAAAACUUCUCCUACAAAAACAACAAGGGAUAAAACCCUGAGUACGCAAUUACUCAGCAAGACUUACCCGACUAAAGAAAAGACUCUCAAGGGUAUGCUGGCUUUUGGGAAUCAAGGUAAAGCUCAUCAAAGUUCAAGGACUCAUUUAGCAGAAAAGCUUACUAGAAGUGGGUCCUUAAGCCAAGUUUUAUUUCACAAGUUAGUUUAUUACCUGAAUCUUCUAGCCUGAAUCUAGCAUUUUCCUAAUCUAGAUCAUUCACUUGAUCUACACUAGGUUGCUUUUAAAAUCCAAAUUUUGUUUCGCUUGUUAUCUACGAUGAAGGGCAGCGAUCCAGUCUUCAUAUCCGAGAAGUAACGGCGAUCCGAAUCGAUUAAUACCCAGCUGGGGAUCUCCAACCACACGACAUAUGUAGCACUUAACCCUUGCAUAUGUCAACCAUUCCCACGGAUCCUCCACUACAUGAACUGGUCCGCGCUACCCGGGAGCACAUUACCCUACCAUUCAGCUUCUUGCCAGGAGGGUAACUGCUACUCCCACCAUCUCCCACGCCCAGUGCGCGGUUGUCUUUUCACGUAUGGAAUAGCCGGGUUCAGGCUUGCCCAUGACGAGGUAUGUGGCCAGUUAAAAGGUCCUAGAUCAUCAGGCCAACAAUCAAUACGGUCCUUAAUCGACACAGACGGGCGACCUUUCCUGCUCAGCGUCUGGUCCCAUUUUAAACUAUUUCAAAAUUUUGGCGCCUGACAGAGGGGCCAUGCCUGGAUAAUGAAUUUAUCAACGUCUUGAUGCCUUCAUUAUCCCAAGCCCAUUUUCUUUUUGUAAAAACAUGAGUCAUAGAUGAAAAACAUUUUUCUUAGUCUAUCAGCAUGACUAAGCAUCUCUAGCUUUUAUAAAACAGGUGACAAGGUAUGGUAAUCAAUCUUUCAAGGAUGGUAAUGCAUCAAUUGUUUAAUCAAUCAACUCCUAUCACCUGAUGCAGCAUAUAAGUGAUAAAAUUUUGUAAACACAAGGGAGGUGACAAAUGCACCAGGGCUUGCCUUGUUGCAGAAAAGAUCCAAAACCUUUCUACAGUUAGAUGGGCCUCCACCACUGGAUCUACAGCACUGGAGCAGACUCC
Molecule: long non-coding RNA, 1340 nt
Filed under: Zea mays
Lineage: Eukaryota; Viridiplantae; Streptophyta; Magnoliopsida; Poales; Poaceae
Description: long non-coding RNA (ZMAY_LNC005507)
Source: RNAcentral